UGCAGCUUAACUGUAAAAUUGCCUUUGAAACUGGUAGUCUUGAGUACAGUUGAGGUAGGCGGAAUGUGUCAUGUAGCGGUGAAAUGCUUAGAUAUGAUACAGAACACCGAUUGCGAAGGCAGCUUACUAAACUGUAACUGACGCUGAGGCACGAAAGCGUGGGGAGCGAACAGGAUUAGAUACCCUGGUAGUCCACGCCGUAAACGAUGUGCACUAGUUUGGUGGAGAUCUGACUCUCUGCCAGACGCCGAGAAAUCAUUAAGUGCACCGCCUGGGGAGUACGGUCGCAAGGCUAAAACUCAAAGGAAUUGACGGGGGCUCACACAAGCGGUGGAGCAUGUUGCUUAAUUCGAAGCAACGCGAAGAACCUUACCUGGGCUUGACAUGUAUGGAUUAGCUCUUGGAAACAUGAGUGACGCCCUUUGGGUGGAACAUACACAGGUGCUGCAUGGCUGUCGUCAGCUCGUGCUGUGAAGUGUCGGGUUAAGUCCCUUAACGAGCGCAACCCUUAUCGCUAGUUGCCAGCGCGUCAUGGCGGGGACUCUAGCGAGACUGCCGGUGUCAAACCGGAGGAAGGUGGGGAUGACGUCAAGUCCUCAUGGCCUUUAUGGCUUGGGCUGCACACGUCCUACAAUGGCACAUACAGAGGGAAGCAAACUCGCGAGAGCAAGCAAAUCCCACAAAGUGUGCCCCAGUUCGGAUUGCAGGCUGCAACUCGCCUGCAUGAAGCCGGAAUCGCUAGUAAUCGUGGGUCAGCA
RNAcentral lists this ribosomal RNA (758 nucleotides) under Symbiodinium sp. Mp. Its description in RNAcentral is "partial Bacterial small subunit ribosomal RNA". It matches the Rfam family "Bacterial small subunit ribosomal RNA", at positions 603 to 1354 of the family's 1533-position model. Lineage: Eukaryota; Dinophyceae; Suessiales; Symbiodiniaceae. The record is from RNAcentral.